Molecule: long non-coding RNA, 1512 nt
Organism: Homo sapiens (human)
Lineage: Eukaryota; Metazoa; Chordata; Mammalia; Primates; Hominidae
Source: Ensembl
GAGGCUCUGGCCGCCAGCUCCAUGUGAGUCUGGGUGGAAAUGAUGCCUUCGCAGAGCUGAGAGCACAAAAUGAAGUUGGUGAUUCAUGGGCAGCAGCCACUUGAAAAUAUGAACACUCCUGCGUCCCCAGCCCCGCCGGCCUUUCACACCCAUUUGGAGGCGUGUUGAGCAGAGCUGCUAGCCUGCUGCAUCCUAGUCUGCAUGUGUUUGGGCAGGAUGUGAGGACAGGCCGGUUCUACCCUGACAAGGAGCCUGCAAAGGGCAGCAGCACGCCUGGGAGCACUCCAAGAACGUCUGCCCACCCCCCGAGAGGCCUCGGCUGGAACCCAGGGCAGGGCUGAGUAAGAGGUAAGCCCCGAGAGGACCUGCGGUCACAGAGAAAGGACACUUCCUGCUCCUGCCCUCUGUCUCCAGGGGCGACGCUGGCAACAGAGCAGCUUUCUGAUGACGCUUGUUCUGCUGAACAUACAAAAAUUUACAAUGAGGAAACCCUUGCAGCUUGACAUUUCCCCCCGCACAAUUCCACAGCCCAGCACCUGUCACCUGAAAUAGCUAUUGUUUAUUUUCCUCAGUAACAUCUUGGCUUCCAGGCCAAAGUCUACUUGGAGGCCCAAACUCAACUCACCCUAUGUGAGGAAUGCCCUGGAGGUCUCUCAGUUUCCCACAACCAAACUGGAUUUAAAGGGCCAAACCAGGAUAAGGAGGCCAGCUGAGCUCUGAAGCCAGAUUGUCUGGGUUCAGAUUCUUUCUCUACACUUGCAGCCACGUGGCUUCAGUCAAAUUGCCCUCUGAGACUCAGUUUUUCUCAUUGGUAAAAUGAGGAUAAUUACAGAACCUACCUCACUGGGUUGCGGUGAAGGGUGACAUUUGAGUAGUGGUCAGCCCAGCAUCCAGCACAUGGACAGACUUGAUACUGGACACUGCUGCUGCUGCUUUUGCUGUUGAAGUUGUUUUCACUCCUGGGUUUUGGUCCCUGUACUGAUAGCACUCCUUUGCACACAGUCUAUGGCACUGAGGUUCCUUGUGGAGGUGGUGCCCUGAGGCUUCAAUAGAGACCCUCUGCCCAUCACAAACAAACCCCAUAUCAGGCUGCCAAGCAUAGUGGACUUCACCCCGGGGGCAUCUCAGCCCCAUGCUUGACCGGCCCCUGCCUUUGCCUAGGAACCAAGUGCCUUUCCCUUGGGGCUGGGCUUUGCCCGGGUUGACUACCCUGAUGCUUCUGCUCCUCUAUGUCCUGGGGUGGUCUUGGGGGUAUUAACUGUCACCAUCCAGUGGAGGGUUUCACCGAGGGUCCCAGGUGCUAACAUGAGGUCUGUGGCCAGCAGGCAGCCUGGAUGACUGGCCGGAUAGGCAGCAGGGAGGGCCUGGAUGACUGGCCGGAUAGGCCCACCUCACCUAUGGGCUGCACUUGCAGCACAAACUGCUGAUUCAUGGAGACUCAUGAGGCCUUGGCUAUCUGUACAUUCUCCAUCUCCAGCUGUCGGCCAAAAUAUAAUUGUAGUUGUCACUUUG